UACGUAGGCAGCAAGCGUUGUUCGGAGUUACUGGGCGUAAAGGGCGCGCAGGCGGCCCACCAAGUACGAUGUGAAAUCUCCCUGCUCAACGGGGAGGGUGCAUAGUAAACUGGUGAGCUAGAGGACGGUAGAGGGGGGUGGAAUUGCUGGUGUAGCGGUGAAAUGCGUAGAGAUCAGCAGGAACACCCGUGGCGAAGGCGGCCCCCUGGGCCGUACCUGACGCUGAGGCGCGAAGGCUAGGGGAGCAAACGGG
This 253-nucleotide ribosomal RNA is filed under the name uncultured bacterium. Its description in RNAcentral is "partial 16S ribosomal RNA". It matches the Rfam family "Bacterial small subunit ribosomal RNA", at positions 524 to 776 of the family's 1533-position model. The record is from RNAcentral.